Molecule: small nucleolar RNA, 157 nt
Filed under: Plasmodium ovale (malaria parasite P. ovale)
Lineage: Eukaryota; Apicomplexa; Aconoidasida; Haemosporida; Plasmodiidae
Description: PocGH01_10030700
Source: RNAcentral
CUUCUUUACCGAAGACUGCAGCAUUAAUAUAUAGCUAUUAAGGCAAUGAAGAGAACACUGCGUAAAUUUACAAUCUGAUCCUUAAAAUAUUAUUGAAAAUUUAUUUUUUUUAAUAUUUUAAUUUAAGAUGAUAAACGCAAGAUAUCAGAGCCUUUAU